Long non-coding RNA from Oreochromis niloticus (Nile tilapia), 606 nucleotides. RefSeq lists it as uncharacterized. The transcript is spliced from 3 exons. The record is from RefSeq and is a predicted model, not a curated record. Lineage: Eukaryota; Metazoa; Chordata; Actinopteri; Cichliformes; Cichlidae.
AAGGUUCAUUCGGCCACAGAAGAUGAAAUGACAGCACUCACUGAUGAAAUUUUGAGUUGUGGCUAUCAUGGACCGGUUAAUGUCGAAAAGAAAGAAGAAAUUCUUCGUGCUGUUGUUCUUCAUGCCACACUUCGGUUGGUGCCUCUGCUCUCACAGCUACGUGAUGGUCUUAACCUUUAUGGUCUUACUAAUCUACUGAAGCAGUACCCAAACAUCUGCCGAUCGCUGUUUGUCCCAGGGGUGGAAGUUAAGGUGAAGAGCCUGAGGCCGGUGACCAUCCAGUCAUCCUUUCCCCAAGUUCAUUCUUACAGUGGCUCACAGGACAAGGCUACAUUCCUGUCCUGCCAGAUGAGAAGAUAAACUUCAAAGUGUCCAUGCAGUUCGACCACUCAUGCCAUAUUCAGUAUGGCGCUCAUGAAGUUUGCUACCCAACCGUUACAGCUAACACAGUCAAACUACCAGUUCAGCAUAUGCAAACUUAUGAAGAGUUCAAGUAUGUGAUGACAAACGCGUUUCACCAUGGUCAGGCAUUUCUUCAUAUUUAGGAGCAUGAUCAGCCAGCCAGACAUCAUGAUUGUUCUAUGAAAAGUUAUUAAAACCAAAAAA